This is a long non-coding RNA of Antechinus flavipes (yellow-footed antechinus), 387 nucleotides long. RefSeq lists it as uncharacterized. The record is from RefSeq and is a predicted model, not a curated record. The transcript has 3 exons. NCBI's taxonomy places the organism in Eukaryota, Metazoa, Chordata, Mammalia, Dasyuromorphia, Dasyuridae.
UUGUUGUGGAAGCCGACAGUGCCGAGGCAGUCAGGAAAAGUCCCACAGCCACGCACAUAACGCUCGUCCGAGGGACCUGCUGCUGAGAGGUCAGAGUCACACACGGUCUCCUUCAGCAUGAUAAUCUCCUGGCUCGUUCGGUAGGACAUGGAGCUGUUCUCUUUCCCCAUCUCAACACAGCCUCUCACCACCACUUCCAGGUCCUGGCCUUCUGGGGAGAAAAUAUAUGCAGGGAGACACGAAUAUGGACUGGAAUCCCUAGAAUGAGUCAGAAGACAAAGAUGGGAAGAAAAAGACAAUUCUAGUAGACGUUGGGUAGGAUACGCCAUCUGCAUCCAGAAAAAGAAUUAUGGAGAUUGAAAUAAAUCAACACAUGAUUUGUGUUCA